RNAcentral lists this ribosomal RNA (498 nucleotides) under Desbruyeresia melanioides. RNAcentral describes it as "partial 16S ribosomal RNA". It matches the Rfam family "Bacterial large subunit ribosomal RNA", at positions 1799 to 2562 of the family's 2925-position model. Lineage: Eukaryota; Metazoa; Mollusca; Gastropoda; Provannidae. The record is from RNAcentral.
CCUGUUUAUCAAAAACAUGGCUCCCUGAUUACUUGACUAUAGGGAGUCGGACCUGCCCAGUGAUAAAAUUUUAACGGCCGCGGUACUCUGACCGUGCAAAGGUAGCAUAAUCAUUUGCCCUAUAAUUGAGGGCUAGUAUGAAUGGUUUGACAAGAGUAGUGCUGUCUCUAUAUGAUUCUUUAGAACUUAAUCUUUAGGUGAAGAAUCCUAAGUUAAAUUAAAAGACAAGAAGACCCUAUCGAGCUUUAAAAAAGUAUAUAGAACAAAAUUAGUAUUUUAAAAUAAAUUACUAUAUAAAAUUUUGGUUGGGGCGACUAAGGAACAUUAAAAGCUUCUUACAAACAUCAUAAGCUGAUAAGCCUAGAUCCGGUUAAAAUACUACCGAUUAAAAGAAUUAGUUACCGUAGGGAUAACAGCAUAAUCUCCUUUAAGAGUUCAUAUCGAAAAGGAGGUUUGUGACCUCGAUGUUGGACUAGAAUGUCCUGAAGAUGCAGAAGU